This 493-nucleotide long non-coding RNA is filed under the name Olea europaea subsp. europaea. Lineage: Eukaryota; Viridiplantae; Streptophyta; Magnoliopsida; Lamiales; Oleaceae. The record is from RNAcentral.
CGUCCAACGGCGGGCGCAAAAAUUCUAGAAUCAGAAAUGCAUAUGUAGGGAGAGACAGAAUAAAAAACCUGAAAUUCUCUUUUGUUGUUGAAGAUUUGCGUCCCUCAUUUUCUUCAGUCAAAUGUAUUUUUGCUGAGUUUGGACCUUGCAAAAGCAAAGACUUCUCAGUUUUCAGACACAAAGAAUAAUUGUAUUAUACCUCCAUUUUGUCUGUCUAACGAAAUGACACUCUUAAUUGUGAGAAGAGUACAAGAAUAUAUGCUAAAAUGGUGAAAAGAAGGCACUGCGAAUUAACAGCAACACUCUUUUCUCAUGAAGAUGAUCUACACGCGCGCGCGCUCGCUCACAGAGAGAGAGGAAGAGAGAGACUGUGUGUGAAUGUGUAAAUAUGGAGAUGGAAAACCCCCCGACCCAAGAGCAGAGGCUAUGGAGACGCUGAGGAAGCAUAUAUACAGAGACUGUGUGUGUAUUAGCUGAAUGAAUAAUCAUGAAG